GUUGGAUACUGCACAAUAUGGAAGAAACAAAAGAUACAAGAAAUACAGGAACCAUUGCAAGAGGAGGUAGAGGAGAUAAAGGAACAACCUCAUGAUACAAAGGAAGAGAGAGUAGCAAGACUGGAGGAGAAAGAAACAAAAGGAGCAACACCUCAAUCAGUAAUUAAUCAAGAUAUACUAUCAAGUGAUACAAGAGUGACAAUAAUUAAUAGACAAUUAAUAAAAGAUAUUAAAACAAACAAACAAUUAGAAGAAAC
Molecule: long non-coding RNA, 257 nt
Organism: Amphimedon queenslandica
Lineage: Eukaryota; Metazoa; Porifera; Demospongiae; Haplosclerida; Niphatidae
Exons: 4
Source: RefSeq, a predicted model, not a curated record